UCUGGGUUCCCCAGGGAUGCUGAGUUGCCCCCCUGGGCCUUAGUCCUGGCUGUCCUGCAGGGACGCUUCCCCUCCCACUUCUCUCAGCAUUGGGAAGCUCCUGAGCCCCAGUCCUGCUCCCCAGAAGCAGCGGGUGAUGGCCAAUGUCAGGAGGGCCUGAGCUCCCAGCCGGGCUCAGAGUAAUGCUAUUUACAUUCCCGGCUUGUUGGUAGGGUCACACGAGAAAGUUCUUGUAAAGUGCUCAGCCCAGUGUCUAGCACGUGUGAGUAGGCGCUUAAUAAAUGCUUCUUUUCCUCCUUCCGGGUUACCAAGCUGCCUGGCCACACUCCCACGACUACUCAGUAUUCCUUUGCUCUGUGUCCCAUAUACCCAGAGAAUCUGAGGUUGCUUUGAUGUUUGUGCCCCAACACUGGGCACAGGACCUUGAACAUUAGUAAAUGUUUAUUUGAUUGAUAAAUAUUGUAGAAGAGGAGGAAGAGAAGAACUGUGAUUUAGGGAGAAAGCUAACAGCCACAGAAACCGAGCCAGGUAAAGGAGAACCCUCCAGCUGUAUUUUAUUCCCUUCUUAGCUAGCACCAACUGGAGGAGCAAGACCCAUUCUGUCUUUGAGCAGCCGCUCCGCCAUCUUCUCGACAAGAUCUUGAGCUGCUCCAUGAUUGUGGCCCUUAUCCCUUCCCCUGGAUCCCUUUUUGCUACUACCCGUCAGUGAUGGACCCUGUAAAGACCCCACUGGGGCUGGAGCUGCUGCUGGCCCAAGCAGCCUCCCUUGUGGCUCCAGCAUGGCUCCUUUGUCUCACUUGGGCUCUUCAAAGACCGCGGACCCGGACUGGAGGUGCCACAUGUUCACCUCCAGAUUAACGUCUGCAGUGAUGUCUAAAUGAUCCGGCUGAAUGCCUGUCCUGUUGGAAAAGCCACGCCAGGGGAGUCUUCCAGAACGGCCGGCUCCAUUUCUUGAGUGCCUUGGAAGGGCUCAGGUGGGGCACUUAUGGUUCCUGUCUGUGCUGUGACAUCUGGACUCUGGCUCCAGUUUGAGCUCCGAUGGACGGCGUCUGAAGCUCCUGCUGGUCUCGGAAAGGCAUCUGAAAGCCACAAAGAACAAGACUGAUUCUCCUCCUUUUUAAGACCUUUUCUUUAACGGACAGUAUCCUGAUGGGUUGUUAUUUUUCUUAGAUAAAGACAAAUUGUUGCUUGAAAUAGUGUGGUAUCCCAAAGAUGCUCUUGAAUAAAAUUAACGUACCUAUAAUGA
Sarcophilus harrisii (Tasmanian devil) is the source of this 1246-nucleotide long non-coding RNA. RefSeq lists it as uncharacterized. NCBI's taxonomy places the organism in Eukaryota, Metazoa, Chordata, Mammalia, Dasyuromorphia, Dasyuridae. The transcript has 2 exons. The record is from RefSeq and is a predicted model, not a curated record.